UUUUUGCCACGAAUUUCACGAAUUACUCGAAUUUUACCCUAGAUUAAAGGAAAUAAAUUCGAGUAAUUCGUGAAAUUCGUGGCAAACU
This 88-nucleotide small RNA is filed under the name Flavobacterium sp. 270. RNAcentral describes it as "Flavo-1 RNA". The record is from RNAcentral. Lineage: Bacteria; Pseudomonadati; Bacteroidota; Flavobacteriia; Flavobacteriales; Flavobacteriaceae.